AACGAACGCUGGCGGCAGGCUUAACACAUGCAAGUCGAACGCUCGUAGCAAUACGGGAGUGGCGGACGGGUGAGUAACGCGUGGGAACGUGCCCUGAGGUACGGAAUAACUGAGGGAAACUUCAGCUAAUACCGUAUGAGCCCCGAGAGGGGGAAAGAUUUAUCGCCUUGGGAGCGGCCCGCGUCGGAUUAGCUAGUUGGUGGGGUAACGGCCUACCAAGGCUUCGAUCCGUAGCUGGUCUGAGAGGACGAUCAGCCACACUGGGACUGAGACACGGCCCAGACUCCUACGGGAGGCAGCAGUGGGGAAUCUUGCGCAAUGGGGGCAACCCUGACGCAGCAUGCCGCGUGAACGAUGAAGGCCUUAGGGUUGUAAAGUUCUUUUACCCGUGACGAUGAUGACGGUAACGGGGAAUAAGCUCCGGCUAACUUCGUGCCAGCAGCCGCGGUAAUGUCUGUACU
This 461-nucleotide ribosomal RNA is filed under the name uncultured bacterium. RNAcentral's name for it is "bacterial SSU rRNA". It matches the Rfam family "Bacterial small subunit ribosomal RNA", at positions 29 to 531 of the family's 1533-position model. The record is from RNAcentral.